Molecule: long non-coding RNA, 898 nt
Organism: Sorghum bicolor (sorghum)
Lineage: Eukaryota; Viridiplantae; Streptophyta; Magnoliopsida; Poales; Poaceae
Exons: 2
Source: RefSeq, a predicted model, not a curated record
CGUGGUCACUCAGUUUUCCUCUCCUUAGCCACCCUCCCCACGCCUCCCUCUCUCUCUCACCACAGGCAAGAGCGCCUUACUCCCUCUUCCUCAUCUUCUCUCCCUUUGCUCCCCACUCGUGUGGUGAUGGCAGCCAUGGCAUGGCGGCCCAGCCGGCCACCCGCUCAUGCGCCGGCAACGGUGCGGUAGCGUGGCGACCCAACAUAGCCCCCACUCGUGCAGCCAGCGGCGACAUGGCAUUCCGACGCGGUCUCUAGCUCGUGCACCUGGCAGUGGCGUGGAGGAUCAACACCCGACCUACUGGAUCUUGCGGCGUGAAGGAUCCGCACACCCGACCACUAGAUCUGGCGGCGUGGAGGAUCUACACCGGCCACUAAAUCUAGCAGAAGCUCCACUGUGGCAAGCAUGGAGGAGUUCUGCUUUGAUCCGCUCUUUGACACAAUGAUGGCAUGGAGGCGCAUACUCUGGAGCCUGGGUGAAGGAGGUUGGCCGCGCGCUAAAUCCAGCGUGGAGGAGGUCGGAUGUGCCUGGAUCGAGGCAUCCAGCGGUGGUGGCGGUCUACGUCCUUGUUCCUGUGUGUGGCACGGUGGAGCCGGAGGUUCCGAUGUGCGGCAUGGCGAGGCCAGAUCCAGCUCGGAACGGGCUCACCGAUUGGCUCGUGGAUUUUUUUUUUGUUUUUUAUUGAUUAACCAAUGUGGACAUUCUAAGAAUCCCGCCUCCAUUAAUAGAUUAAUAGAGGUGGGUAAAAUAACCGCCACGAUUAUGUUAUGAUUAACCAAGGUUAUUGAUUGGAAGCAGUUGCAAUGCCCGCUUCCAAUAAGUCUUAUGUAGUAGUGUUUCUUUUAUGAUACAAUACACACACAUAUGCAACUAACCGGCGGCUAAGUUCAUCCUUCAA